GGGCGGAGCAGGGGAGGGGGGGCGCAGCCAAUCGCAGAGGCGGCCCCGUGCGGGCUCCGCGCCGCCUCUCGGCCGGGUGGGACCGCAGCGAGGCCUGCGACUCUGCACCCCCAGGCCCCGCGCCCCUCGCCCCGCGCCCGCGGGGGAGCCGCCCAGCCCGGUAAUGAGAGGCCCUCAGAUCCCAGAGGACACCCUACAAGAAGAAGUCAGAAUCGUGCUGAAGACCCGGUCUCCAGCAAACAUGUGAGUUUCAGUUUAGCCUCUUACGGUGAGAACGCAUCCGCUAACAUACUUUGCCUAAACUGAGACCACACGA
Molecule: long non-coding RNA, 316 nt
Filed under: Mus spicilegus (steppe mouse)
Lineage: Eukaryota; Metazoa; Chordata; Mammalia; Rodentia; Muridae
Description: lncRNA (ENSMSIG00000027106.1)
Source: RNAcentral